Molecule: unclassified non-coding RNA, 207 nt
Filed under: uncultured Ascomycota
Lineage: Eukaryota; Fungi; Ascomycota
Description: sequence contains ITS1
Source: RNAcentral
CUGAGUUUUGGGUUUCCUUUUGGAGCCCGAUCUCCCACCCUUUGUUAAACUACAUUUGUUGCUUUGGCAGGCCUGUGGACUCCUUUUCACGAAGGGGAAGACUGCCGGAGGUUCUCGAACCUCUGGAUCGUUUUGCCUGCCAGUAGCCUCUUCAAAUUCUUUUUUUUAUAACCAUGUCGUCUGAAUCUUUAAAUGAAUUAACAUUUA